GACGAACGCUGGCGGCGUGCUUAACACAUGCAAGUCGAACGGAAAGGCCCUGCUUUUGUGGGGUGCUCGAGUGGCGAACGGGUGAGUAACACGUGGGUAACCUGCCCUUGACUUUGGGAUAACUUCAGGAAACUGGGGCUAAUACCGGAUAGGAGCUCCUGCUGCAUGGUGGGGGUUGGAAAGGUUCGGCGGUUGGGGAUGGACUCGCGGCUUAUCAGCUUGUUGGUGGGGUAGUGGCCUACCAAGGCUUUGACGGGUAGCCGGCCUGGGAGGGUGACCGGCGACAUUGGGACUGGGAUACGGCCCAGACUCCUACGGGAGGCAGCAGUGGGGAAUAUUGCACAAUGGGCGGAAGCCGGAUGCAGCAACGCCGCGGGCGUGAUGACGGCCUUCGGGUUGUAAACCGCUUUCGCCUAUGACGAAGCGUGAGUGACGGUAAUGGGUAAAGAAGCACCGGCUAACUACGUG
Molecule: ribosomal RNA, 468 nt
Filed under: uncultured bacterium
Lineage: Bacteria
Description: partial 16S ribosomal RNA
Rfam family: Bacterial small subunit ribosomal RNA
Source: RNAcentral